AGAGUUUGAUCCUGGCUCAGAUUGAACGCUGGCGGCAUGCCUUACACAUGCAAGUCGAACGGCAGCACGGACUUCGGUCUGGUGGCGAGUGGCGAACGGGUGAGUAAAGCAUCGGAACGUGCCCGAUCGUGGGGGAUAACGCAGCGAAAGCUGCGCUAAUACCGCAUAAGAUCUACGGAUGAAAGCGGGGGACUCGCAAGAGCCUCGCGCGAACGGAGCGGCCGAUGUCAGAUUAGGUAGUUGGUGGGGUAAAGGCCCACCAAGCCGACGAUCUGUAGCUGGUCUGAGAGGACGACCAGCCACACUGGGACUGAGACACGGCCCAGACUCCUACGGGAGGCAGCAGUGGGGAAUUUUGGACAAUGGGCGCAAGCCUGAUCCAGCCAUGCCGCGUGCAGGAAGAAGGCCUUCGGGUUGUAAACUGCUUUUGUACGGAGCGAAAAGGCCCCUACUAACACUGGGGGUCCAUGACGGUACCGUAAGAAUAAGCACCGGCUAACUACGUGCCAGCAGCCGCGGUAAUA
RNAcentral lists this ribosomal RNA (524 nucleotides) under uncultured bacterium. RNAcentral describes it as "bacterial SSU rRNA". It matches the Rfam family "Bacterial small subunit ribosomal RNA", at positions 8 to 525 of the family's 1533-position model. The record is from RNAcentral.